GAUGAACGCUGGCGGCGUGCUUAACACAUGCAAGUCGAACGAUGAAGCCCAGCUUGCUGGGUGGAUUAGUGGCGAACGGGUGAGUAACACGUGAGUAACCUGCCCUUAACUCUGGGAUAAGCCUGGGAAACUGGGUCUAAUACCGGAUAGGAGCGUCCACCGCAUGGUGGGUGUUGGAAAGAUUUAUCGGUUUUGGAUGGACUCGCGGCCUAUCAGCUUGUUGGUGAGGUAAUGGCUCACCAAGGCGACGACGGGUAGCCGGCCUGAGAGGGUGACCAGCCACACUGGGACUGAGACACGGCCCAGACUCCUACGGGAGGCAGCAGUGGGGAAUAUUGCACAAUGGGCGCAAGCCCGAUGCAGCGACGCCGCGUGAGGGAUGACGGCCUUCGGGUUGUAAACCUCUUUCAGUAGGGAAGAAGCGAAAGUGACGGUACCUGCAGAAGAAGCACCGGCUAACUACGUG
RNAcentral lists this ribosomal RNA (466 nucleotides) under uncultured bacterium. RNAcentral describes it as "partial 16S ribosomal RNA". It matches the Rfam family "Bacterial small subunit ribosomal RNA", at positions 28 to 507 of the family's 1533-position model. The record is from RNAcentral.